Molecule: ribosomal RNA, 229 nt
Filed under: Vibrio parahaemolyticus
Lineage: Bacteria; Pseudomonadati; Pseudomonadota; Gammaproteobacteria; Vibrionales; Vibrionaceae
Also listed under: 2 other names
Description: partial 16S ribosomal RNA
Rfam family: Bacterial small subunit ribosomal RNA
Source: RNAcentral
AAAUUGAAGAGUUUGAUCAUGGCUCAGAUUGAACGCUGGCGGCAGGCCUAACACAUGCAAGUCGAGCGGAAACGAGUUAUCAGAACCUUCGGGGAACGAUAGCGGCGUCGAGCGGCGGACGGGUGAGUAAUGCCUAGGAAAUUGCCCUGAUGUGGGGGAUAACCAUUGGAAACGAUGGCUAAUACCGCAUGAUGCCUACGGGCCAAAGAGGGGGACCUUCGGGCCUCUC